RNAcentral lists this unclassified non-coding RNA (226 nucleotides) under fungal sp. Its description in RNAcentral is "partial internal transcribed spacer region". The stretch from base 1 to 46 matches the Rfam family "Eukaryotic small subunit ribosomal RNA", at positions 1786 to 1831 of the family's 1831-position model. The record is from RNAcentral. Lineage: Eukaryota; Fungi.
AAGUCGUAACAAGGUUUCCGUAGGUGAACCUGCGGAAGGAUCAUUACUAAAGUUUCUACUUUAAUGUCGAGUGCACCGUAGGCCUGCCUUGGUGUCCCGGGGCUGAUUUCUCUCUCUCUCUAGAGUGAGGGAGAUCAUUCUGGGCACCGUGUUACUACGUAUACUAUUAUGCUGACUUUAAUACACAAAUUAAAGACAACUUUUAGCAACGGAUCUCUAGGCUCUC